GAUGAACGCUAGCUACAGGCUUAACACAUGCAAGUCGAGGGGUAACGAGAGGAAAGCUUGCUUUCCUUGUCGACGACCGGCGCACGGGCGAGUAUCGCGUAUCCAACCUGCCCCCAACUAAGGAAUAACCUUGCGAAAGUAAGACUAAUACCUUAUAAUUUCCUCAGAUGUCAUCUGACGAGGAAUAAAGAUUUAUCGGUUGUGGAUGGGGAUGCGUCUGAUUAGCUUGUUGGCGGGGUAACGGCCCACCAAGGCAACGAUCAGUAGGGGUUCUGAGAGGAAGGUCCCCCACAUUGGAACUGAGACACGGUCCAAACUCCUACGGGAGGCAGCAGUGAGGAAUAUUGGUCAAUGGGCGAAAGCCUGAACCAGCCAAGUAGCGUGCAGGAUGACGGCCCUAUGGGUUGUAAACUGCUUUUAUACAGGAAUAAAGUUAGCCACGUGUGGUUAUUUGUAGGUACUGUAUGAAUAAGGACCGGCUAAUUCCGUGCCAGCCGCCGCGGUAA
RNAcentral lists this ribosomal RNA (506 nucleotides) under uncultured bacterium. RNAcentral describes it as "partial 16S ribosomal RNA". It matches the Rfam family "Bacterial small subunit ribosomal RNA", at positions 28 to 523 of the family's 1533-position model. The record is from RNAcentral.